This is a non-coding RNA of Gossypium raimondii (Peruvian cotton), 107 nucleotides long. The record is from Rfam. Lineage: Eukaryota; Viridiplantae; Streptophyta; Magnoliopsida; Malvales; Malvaceae.
AAACCAUGCAUCAGGCUUUUUCUAAUUAAUUCCUUAAAACGUUCCCAAGCUUCAUAUAAUGUCUCAUCUUUAGAUUGUCUGAACGAUGUACUGACGUUCCUUAGCUU